GGAGAGAUGGCUGAGCUGGUCUAAGGCGCACGACUGGAAAUCGUGUGUACCCACAAAAGGGUACCGAGGGUUCGAAUCCCUCUCUCUCCGCCA
Molecule: transfer RNA, 93 nt
Filed under: Bacillota bacterium
Lineage: Bacteria; Bacillati; Bacillota
Also listed under: 1 other name
Description: tRNA-Ser
Rfam family: tRNA
About the family: Transfer RNA (tRNA) molecules are approximately 80 nucleotides in length. Their secondary structure includes four short double-helical elements and three loops (D, anti-codon, and T loops).
Source: RNAcentral